RNAcentral lists this ribosomal RNA (279 nucleotides) under uncultured bacterium. RNAcentral's name for it is "partial 16S ribosomal RNA". It matches the Rfam family "Bacterial small subunit ribosomal RNA", at positions 506 to 784 of the family's 1533-position model. The record is from RNAcentral.
UGCCAGCCGCCGCGGUAAUACGGAGGGUGCAAGCGUUAAUCGGAAUUACUGGGCGUAAAGCGCACGUAGGCGGUUAAGUAAGUCAGAUGUGAAAGCCCCAAACUCAACCUAAGAACUGCAUUUGAUACUGCUUAACUAGAAUAUAAUAGAGGCAAAUGGAAUUCCAGGUGUAACAAUGAAAUGCAUAGAUAUCUGGAAGAACAUCAGUAACGAAGGCGACUUACUGGACCAAUACUGACGCUGAGGUGCGAAAGCGUGGGGAGCAAACAGGAUUAGAUA